ACACAUGCAAGUCGAACGGAGAUAAAGACUUCGGUUUUUAUCUUAGUGGCGGACGGGUGAGUAACACGUGAGCAACCUGCCUCUGAGAGAGGGAUAGCUUCUGGAAACGGAUGGUAAUACCUCAUAAUAUAGCGGUACCGCAUGAUACUGCUAUCAAAGAUUUAUCGCUCAGAGAUGGGCUCGCGUCUGAUUAGCUAGAUGGUGAGGUAACGGCUCACCAUGGCGACGAUCAGUAGCCGGACUGAGAGGUUGAACGGCCACAUUGGGACUGAGACACGGCCCAGACUCCUACGGGAGGCAGCAGUGGGGAAUAUUGCACAAUGGGCGCAAGCCUGAUGCAGCGAUGCCGCGUGGAGGAAGAAGGUUUUCGGAUUGUAAACUCCUGUCUUAAGGGACGAUAAUGACGGUACCUUAGGAGGAAGCUCCGGCUAACUACGUGCCAGCAGCCGCGGUAAUACGUAGGGAGCGAGCGUUGUCCGGAAUUACUGGGUGUAAAGGGAGCGUAGGCGGGAUUGCAAGUCAGAUGUGAAAUGUAUGGGCUUAACCCAUAGACUGCAUUUGAAACUGUAGUUCUUGAGCGAAGUAGAGGUAAGCGGAAUUCCUAGUGUAGCGGUGAAAUGCGUAGAUAUUAGGAGGAACAUCGGUGGCGAAGGCGGCUUACUGGGCUUUUACUGACGCUGAGGCUCGAAAGCGUGGGGAACAAACAGGAUUAGAUACCCUGGUAGUCCACGCUGUAAACGAUGAUUACUAGGUGUGGGGGGACUGACCCCUUCCGUGCCGCAGUUAACACAAUAAGUAAUCCACCUGGGGAGUACGGCCGCAAGGUUGAA
This 830-nucleotide ribosomal RNA is filed under the name uncultured bacterium. RNAcentral's name for it is "bacterial SSU rRNA". It matches the Rfam family "Bacterial small subunit ribosomal RNA", at positions 51 to 898 of the family's 1533-position model. The record is from RNAcentral.